Otolemur garnettii (small-eared galago) is the source of this 629-nucleotide long non-coding RNA. RefSeq lists it as uncharacterized. NCBI's taxonomy places the organism in Eukaryota, Metazoa, Chordata, Mammalia, Primates, Galagidae. The record is from RefSeq and is a predicted model, not a curated record. The transcript has 5 exons.
GGGGUCAGUCACUCUCCGGGCGACCUUCCUCUUGCAGGGUCCUGAGGGUCUCCAGGAAUUCAUCAAUGGUCACUACCCCAUCCUGAUUCCGGUCCAUUUUCUGCAACCCAAGCCACAUCCAAGGGCUCCCUUUCCCUGGCAGGGGCUGAGAUGCUCACCUGGAAGAACCGCUCCACGUGCUCCAUGGGUGCGUCCUCCCGCAGGAUGGGGUUAUUGUGUGGCUUCUACUGAAAUUCACAUCUCUACAGAUGAGGAGCCUCCACGAUAGGCACACAGACGCCCAUUCAGGAAGCUGCUGCAAGACAUGCUCCUGAACAGAGAGGAUAAAGCGAAAGGGAGGAAGAUGAAGGAUUCCAGAACCAGGAGACCCAACCCAGGAGACUGAGAGGAAAAGCGCCCCGCAGAGGAUGGAGCCAUGGGAGGCUGGGAGGUGUCCUCAGGGAGAUGCCAGACAGGAGGUUCCAAUGACUGGAGAAGGCCUGGGCUUGAAUGAAUGGUAAGGUCACAGAAAACCAGGCAAAUGAAAAAUCAGGACAAAUGUUAACUCUAGGCAAAGGACAGGAAAACAUAAUCAUGGUUUACUGCAGUUAAUAUGUGUCUUACCUCUAAGAUAUUAAAAUAAGGGCUGG